This 81-nucleotide transfer RNA is filed under the name Jatropha curcas. It matches the Rfam family "tRNA". From Rfam's summary of the family: Transfer RNA (tRNA) molecules are approximately 80 nucleotides in length. Lineage: Eukaryota; Viridiplantae; Streptophyta; Magnoliopsida; Malpighiales; Euphorbiaceae. The record is from Rfam by way of RNAcentral.
GUCGCUUUGGCCGAGUGGUUAAGGAGUGUGCCUGCUAAGUACAUGGGGUUUUCCCGCGAGAGUUCGAAUCUCCAGGCGACG